GCGGGUGUAGUUCAGUGGCUAGAACGCCUGCUUGCCAAGCAGGAGGUCGUGGGUUCGACCCCCAUCACCCGCUCCA
RNAcentral lists this transfer RNA (76 nucleotides) under Pseudomonadota bacterium. Its description in RNAcentral is "Proteobacteria bacterium (wastewater metagenome) tRNA-Gly". It matches the Rfam family "tRNA". From Rfam's summary of the family: Transfer RNA (tRNA) molecules are approximately 80 nucleotides in length. Their secondary structure includes four short double-helical elements and three loops (D, anti-codon, and T loops). Lineage: Bacteria; Pseudomonadati; Pseudomonadota. The record is from RNAcentral.